RNA transcript from Cryptomeria japonica (Japanese cedar), 1706 nucleotides. RefSeq lists it as uncharacterized. The record is from RefSeq and is a predicted model, not a curated record. Lineage: Eukaryota; Viridiplantae; Streptophyta; Pinopsida; Cupressales; Cupressaceae. The transcript has 8 exons.
UUCUUAUCAAUGGGCCACUCUGAAGAAUUCCUUCGAUGGUACGGCUCGAUCGUCGAAUAUCAAAUUUGCAUCUAGCAUGGCUGGAUAGAAAUUGCCCUAAAAGAGUUUCGAUAAGCGUUGGAACAAACGACGGUGGGUCCGGAUGCGCGUAAGCAAAACGACUUGUAAUGUUUAUCGUAAUGGCAGUGCCAUCAGCAGAGAGAAUGUCGAAAAGCAAAACUGCGGUGGAGACGGCACGAGCGGAGUGGGAUGCUUGAUUGCCGACGCUGCUUUAAAAAUGCCCUCUACUAUGACGAGGAAGGAGAUCGUCCGUAUUCGUAAUGAUGAUUAACUCACUGCCGAGAAACAUAAUUGGAGGAGGAUGGGCAUGGGCAAGGGCAAGGGCAAGGGCAAGGGCACUCAGAUGUUUUGCCUCGGUGGGGGCGCCUGCCAAUGAGAGGUGUGGAGAGUGGUAUGAGGAGUACCGGAAAUCUUUACAUGGAGGGCUUACUCACAAGGCUCUCUUGGUGGACGCUGUUGGGACUCUUGUCAUCCCCUCCCAGCCAGCUGCACAGAUAUAUAGGGACAUUGGUGCGAAAUAUGGCGUGAAUUACUCAGAGGACGAAAUUCUGAGGCGGUACCGGUGGGCUUAUCAGCAACCAUGGGUGAAUUCCCGCCUACGAUUCAUGGACGAUGGGAGACCUUUUUGGCAGUUUGUUGUACAAAGUGCUACAGGUUGUGUAGAUCCCCAAUAUUUUGAGGAGGUUUAUGAGUAUUAUGCGACAGAGAAGGCCUGGCACCUCUGCGACCCAGAUGCAGGUAAAGUGUUUGAAGCACUUAAAAGAGCAGGAGUAAAGUUGGCAGUAGUUUCGAACUUUGAUACUCGCCUAAGGCCUGUAUUACAGUCUCUUAGGUGUGAACACUGGUUUGAUGCAUUAGUUGUAUCAGCUGAGGUAGGAGCAGAGAAGCCCAAUCCUACAAUAUUUUUGAAGGCAUGUGAAUUGCUUGGGGUAAAUCCAGAAGAUGCAGUUCAUGUUGGAGAUGAUCGUCGCAAUGACAUUUGGGGUGCCAGAGAUGCUGGUUGCGAUGCUUGGCUUUGGGGUGCAGAUGUACACACUUUUAAGGAGGUUGCCAACAGGAUUGGUGUGGAACUCUGACUGCAAGGGGACUAUCUUUCUUUUCCAAUUCAAAUAUGGAUGGUGCGGCAGAGCACAUUCAAUAUCCAAUGGAGUACACCUUCUUAGCUAUAACUACAAUUGGCAGGGAGUGGAGCUUUGCAGGAAUACCGUUGCUUGUGAUUAGUCUUUAUCUAUGGAGCUCCAUUAUGGGCACGGCACUUAUCGUAAAGGAAGACAUAGUUUUUUCAAGCAUGCUUUGUUAAAAGGAAUGCCAUCUGUUUCUAUGAAGUAUGUGGAAGCAUGUUUGAUCUCUUUAGACAUCAAACCUUCUAUGUUGGUUUAACUUGUAAAAAGGCAGAAGCAAGAAAGAGGAUGAUUUGGUCAAAAGUUUGCAAUUUUCUUUCUAUUUACUUUAGAUUAGAUGAAAAAUACCGAAUGAAUCUAUAAUGCAUAUAAAUUUGCAUUAACAUUCAACUGUUCUUUUAAUGCAGAUUAUAGAAAUAUGUAUCAUAUGAAUAAAUAAAAAAUGUGUACCAAAUUGUUCCAUGAAAAUGAGAUACUUUGUCUGAUACAAACCUUCUGAUUGUAGUCAGAACAAUUCACCAGGAA